This 501-nucleotide ribosomal RNA is filed under the name uncultured bacterium. Its description in RNAcentral is "bacterial SSU rRNA". It matches the Rfam family "Bacterial small subunit ribosomal RNA", at positions 28 to 524 of the family's 1533-position model. The record is from RNAcentral.
GAUUAACGCUAGCGGCAGGCCUAAUACAUGCAAGUCGAACGGGAUUCAAAGUAGCAAUAUUUUGAUGAGAGUGGCGCACGGGUGAGUAACACGUAUGCAAUUUACCUUUAACUGGGGGAUAGCCCUCCGAAAGGAGGAUUAAUACCGCAUAAUAUAUUGAAAUGGCAUCAUUUUAAUAUUAAACCUACGGGGGUUAAAGAUGAGCAUGCAUCCGAUUAGCUAGUUGGUGUGGUAACGGCUCACCAAGGCAACGAUCGGUAGGGGGUCUGAGAGGAUGAUCCCCCACACUGGUACUGAGACACGGACCCGACUCCUACGGGAGGCAGCAGUAAGGAAUAUUGGUCAAUGGAGGGAACUCUGAACCAGCCAUGCCGCGUGAAGGAAGAAGGCGCUACGCGUUGUAAACUUCUUUUGGGUGGGACGAAAAUAAUCCAUUUAUGGAUAGCUGACGGUACCAUCAGAAUAAGCACCGGCUAACUCCGUGCCAGCAGCCGCGGUAAU